UACAGAGGGGGCAAGCGUUGUUCGGAAUUACUGGGCGUAAAGGGCGCGUAGGCGGCCUGUUAAGUCGAACGUGAAAUCCCCGGGCUCAACCCGGGAACUGCGUCCGAUACUGGCAGGCUUGAAUUCGGGAGAGGGAUGUGGAAUUCCAGGUGUAGCGGUGAAAUGCGUAGAUAUCUGGAGGAACACCGGUGGCGAAGGCGGCAUCCUGGACCGAUAUUGACGCUGAUGCGCGAAAGCCAGGGGAGCAAGCAGG
Molecule: ribosomal RNA, 253 nt
Filed under: uncultured bacterium
Lineage: Bacteria
Description: partial 16S ribosomal RNA
Rfam family: Bacterial small subunit ribosomal RNA
Source: RNAcentral